ACACAUGCAAGUCGAACGGGGAUUAUUUCAUUGAAGCUUCGGCAGAUUUGGCUUAAUCCUAGUGGCGGACGGGUGAGUAACGCGUGGGUAACCUGCCUUGUACAGGGGGAUAACAGUCAGAAAUGACUGCUAAUACCGCAUAAGCGCACAGGACCGCAUGGUCCGGUGUGAAAAACUCCGGUGGUAUAAGAUGGACCCGCGUUGGAUUAGCUAGUUGGCAGGGUAACGGCCUACCAAGGCAACGAUCCAUAGCCGGCCUGAGAGGGUGAACGGCCACAUUGGGACUGAGACACGGCCCAGACUCCUACGGGAGGCAGCAGUGGGGAAUAUUGCACAAUGGGGGAAACCCUGAUGCAGCGACGCCGCGUGAAGGAAGAAGUAUCUCGGUAUGUAAACUUCUAUCAGCAGGG
RNAcentral lists this ribosomal RNA (410 nucleotides) under uncultured bacterium. RNAcentral describes it as "bacterial SSU rRNA". It matches the Rfam family "Bacterial small subunit ribosomal RNA", at positions 51 to 444 of the family's 1533-position model. The record is from RNAcentral.